UACGGAGGGGACUAGCGUUGUUCGGAAUUAUUGGGCGUAAAGAGCUCGUAGGCGGUUUGUCGCGUCUGCCGUGAAAGUCCGGGGCUCAACUCCGGAUCUGCGGUGGGUACGGGCAGACUAGAGUGAUGUAGGGGAGACUGGAAUUCCUGGUGUAGCGGUGAAAUGCGCAGAUAUCAGGAGGAACACCGAUGGCGAAGGCAGGUCUCUGGGCAUUAACUGACGCUGAGGAGCGAAAGCAUGGGGAGCGAACAGG
This 253-nucleotide ribosomal RNA is filed under the name uncultured bacterium. RNAcentral's name for it is "partial 16S ribosomal RNA". It matches the Rfam family "Bacterial small subunit ribosomal RNA", at positions 524 to 776 of the family's 1533-position model. The record is from RNAcentral.